This 1135-nucleotide long non-coding RNA is filed under the name Olea europaea subsp. europaea. Lineage: Eukaryota; Viridiplantae; Streptophyta; Magnoliopsida; Lamiales; Oleaceae. The record is from RNAcentral.
CAGAUUCAUUCACAUAAUUUAGCUACCUAAGUUGAAUUGUCGGUUGAAAUCAAAACAACAGAAAGCAGUAAAAAUGCAACAAAAUGUUGACGGAGAAAACCCAACUGGGUAAAAACUCCGAGCACAAGCCAGUAGAGUCCACUAUAGAAGAUAUUGACUUACAAUACGCCAGACAUAAUUGAAUCUAACAAUGCUUUGACCUCCUUACUGUAUCAACCAAAGCUCUCCUGGAUUUUGCAGAUCUGCGCCAUAAUCCCAGCCUUGAAUUUCUUCUAUCUCCCGUGAAUCACCAAGCACUCCAAUUCUUCAAGCAGUUUCCUUCCCAGAUCUUCAAACAGAUGAUCGUCUGGAAGUUGAUAUGGAGAUUUGAAUGGUGCUUUGAUUUUGUGAAGGUUGAUAUUUUUCUCUAAUAGAGCAUAAGAUGAAAAGAAAAAAAAAUUUGGCUCUAGAUCCUUUGGUUGUCGAGAGAAAUUUUUAUUUGUGUGUUUUCCAAAGGUUAUAAAUGAAAAACAGAAUUUUUGUUUAUAUAGUAGGUCGUUUUUGGUAGUAUGGAGCGUUUAAAAUUCGCGAGGAAGGAAAAUUAACAAAAGUCAGAUAGCACUGUCACUCGAGUGAAGUGCUGGCGAAACUCGAGCGACCCCUCAGCGAAACUCUAGCGACAACAGUUCUGUUAUUUAGGCUCGAGAGAGGUAGGGCGAAACUCUAGCGAGAUCGCACCGUUUGCAUCUUCAAAGCGUCCAACUUUACCCUAGACCUAUGCUAUAAACUUUGCAAAAUUGCAACACAAGUCCCUGAACUUUUUGGACCUUUACAAUUAAGUCCUUGACUUUACAAACUUGACAAAUUGGUCCUUUGGUCACAGAUUGCCAAUUACAACAUUUUCCUAACAAACUCCCCCUUUGGCAUUCUGUGACAAAAUUAAUAAGAUAGUCAAGGACAAAAGUAAAUCUGACUCUAAACGACCUAUCUCUUCAACCAAAGCAGCUAUCUCUUAUUGAACCUGUUUCCUGAAAUACAGAAACUCAAAUACCAAGUGUAAAUGCAUGUGAAAUGGAAACAGUAAAUAAAAACAAGGAAUAGUGCAUAUGUCAUUAACCAGAUUAAGAAGCAAUAUUAAUGUAAGUCAAAAAUAUAC